GAAGGGUGCAAGCGUUACUCGGAAUUACUGGGCGUAAAGCGUGCGUAGGUGGUUCGUUAAGUCUGAUGUGAAAGCCCUGGGCUCAACCUGGGAAUGGCAUUGGAUACUGGCGACCUAGAGUGCGGUAGAGGGUGGCGGAAUUCCCGGUGUAGCAGUGAAAUGCGUAGAUAUCGGGAGGAACAUCCGUGGCGAAGGCGGCCACCUGGACCAGCACUGACACUGAGGCACGAAAGCGUGGGGAGCAAACAGGAUUAGAUACCCUGGUAGUCCACGCCCUAAACGAUGCGAACUGGAUGUUGGGUGCAACUUGGCACUCAGUAUCGAAGCUAACGCGUUAAGUUCGCCGCCUGGGAAGUACGGUCGCAAGACUG
RNAcentral lists this ribosomal RNA (371 nucleotides) under uncultured organism. RNAcentral's name for it is "bacterial SSU rRNA". It matches the Rfam family "Bacterial small subunit ribosomal RNA", at positions 527 to 896 of the family's 1533-position model. The record is from RNAcentral.